AUGAACGCUGGCGGCGUGCCUAAUCCCUGCAAGUCGCGCGAACAGACGAGGAGCUUGCUCCUCUGACGUUAGCGGCGGACGGGUGAGUAACACGUGGAUAACCUACCUAUAAGACUGGGAUAACUUCGGGAAACCGGAGCUAAUACCGGAUAAUAUAUUGAACCGCAUGGUUCAAUAGUGAAAGACGGUUUUGCUGUCACUUAUAGAUGGAUCCGCGCCGCAUUAGCUAGUUGGUAAGGUAACGGCUUACCAAGGCAACGAUGCGUAGCCGACCUGAGAGGGUGAUAGGCCACACUGGAACUGAGACACGGUCCAGACUCCUACGGGAGGCAGCAGUAGGGAAUCUUCCGCAAUGGGCGAAAGCUUGACGGAGCAACGCCGCGUGAGUGAUGAAGGUCUUCGGAUCGUAAAACUCUGUUAUUAGGGAAGAACAAAUGUGUAAGUAACUAUGCACGUCUUGACGGUACCUAAUCAGAAAGCCACGGCUAACUACGUG
This 496-nucleotide ribosomal RNA is filed under the name uncultured bacterium. RNAcentral describes it as "partial 16S ribosomal RNA". It matches the Rfam family "Bacterial small subunit ribosomal RNA", at positions 29 to 507 of the family's 1533-position model. The record is from RNAcentral.